This 246-nucleotide ribosomal RNA is filed under the name Lactiplantibacillus plantarum. Its description in RNAcentral is "Lactobacillus plantarum partial 16S ribosomal RNA". It matches the Rfam family "Bacterial small subunit ribosomal RNA", at positions 65 to 305 of the family's 1533-position model. The record is from RNAcentral. Lineage: Bacteria; Bacillati; Bacillota; Bacilli; Lactobacillales; Lactobacillaceae.
UGCUUGCAUCAUGAUUUACAUUUGAGUGAGUGGCGAACUGGUGAGUAACACGUGGGAAACCUGCCCAGAAGCGGGGGAUAACACCUGGAAACAGAUGCUAAUACCGCAUAACAACUUGGACCGCAUGGUCCGAGCUUGAAAGAUGGCUUCGGCUAUCACUUUUGGAUGGUCCCGCGGCGUAUUAGCUAGAUGGUGGGGUAACGGCUCACCAUGGCAAUGAUACGUAGCCGACCUGAGAGGGUAAUC